Molecule: unclassified non-coding RNA, 151 nt
Filed under: uncultured Ascomycota
Lineage: Eukaryota; Fungi; Ascomycota
Description: sequence contains ITS2
Source: RNAcentral
UAAUCUCAAGCAACCGCUUGGUAUUGGAGGAUGAUCUGCCUAGCAGUUCACUUCUUAAACUGAUUGGCAAGUUUACAUAGCAGCAAGCGUAGUAGAAAUACCAUCAGCUUAGUUACUCUGUAUAGCUUUGUCAAAAUCAAACUAUUCUAAG